AUUGAACGCUGGCGGCAGGCCUAACACAUGCAAGUCGAACGGUAACAGGAAGCAGCUUGCUGCUUUGCUGACGAGUGGCGGACGGGUGAGUCAUGUCUGGGAAACUGCCUGAUGGAGGGGGAUAACUACUGGAAACGGUAGCUAAUACCGCAUAACGUCGCAAGCCCAAAGAGGGGGACCUUAGGGCCUCUUGCCAUCGGCUGUGCCCAGAUGGGAUUAGCUAGUAGGUGGGGUAACGGCUCACCUAGGCGACGAUCCCUAGCUGGUCUGAGAGGAUGACCAGCCACACUGGAACUGAGACACGGUCCAGACUCCUACGGGAGGCAGCAGUGGGGAAUAUUGCACAAUGGGCGCAAGCCUGAUGCAGCCAUGCCGCGUGUAUGAAGAAGGCCUUCGGGUUGUAAAGUACUUUCAGCGGGGAGGAAGGGAGGAAAGUUAAUACCUGUGCUCAUUGACGUUACCCGCAGAAGAAGCACCGGCUAACUCCGUG
RNAcentral lists this ribosomal RNA (490 nucleotides) under uncultured bacterium. RNAcentral's name for it is "partial 16S ribosomal RNA". It matches the Rfam family "Bacterial small subunit ribosomal RNA", at positions 30 to 507 of the family's 1533-position model. The record is from RNAcentral.